GCGGAGGAAAAGAAACCAACAGGGAUUGCCCUAGUAACGGCGAGUGAAGCGGCAACAGCUCAAAUUUGAAAUCUGGCGUCUUUGGCGUCCGAGUUGUAAUUUGCAGAGGGCGCUUUGGCAUUGGCAGCGGUCCAAGUUCCUUGGAACAGGACGUCACAGAGGGUGAGAAUCCCGUACGUGGUCGCUAGCCUUUACCGUGUAAAGCCCCUUCGACGAGUCGAGUUGUUUGGGAAUGCAGCUCUAAAUGGGAGGUAAAUUUCUUCUAAAGCUAAAUACUGGCCAGAGACCGAUAGCGCACAAGUAGAGUGAUCGAAAGAUGAAAAGCACUUUGGAAAGAGAGUUAAAAAGCACGUGAAAUUGUUGAAAGGGAAGCGCUUGCAGCCAGACUUGCCUGUAGUUGCUCAUCCGGGUUUUUACCCGGUGCACUCUUCUACGGGCAGGCCAGCAUCAGUUUGGGCGGUUGGAUAAAGGUCUCUGUCAUGUACCUCCUCUCGGGGAGAACUUAUAGGGGAGACGACAUGCAACCAGCCCGGACUGAGGUCCGCGCAUCUGCUAGGAUGCUGGCGUAAUGGCUGUAAGCGGCCCGUCUUGAAACACGGACCAAGGAGUCUAACAUCUAUGCGAGUGUUUGGGUGUCAAGCCCGAGCGCGUAAUGAAAGUGAACGGAGGUGGGAACCUUUCGGGGUGCACCAUCGACCGAUCCUGAUGUCUUCGGAUGGAUUUGAGUAAGAGCAUAGCUGUUGGGACCCGAAAGAUGGUGAACUAUGCUUGAAUAGGGUGAAGCCAGAGGAAACUCUGGUGGAGGCUCGCAGCGGUUCUGACGUGCAAAUCGAUCGUCAAAUUUGGGCAUAGGGGCGAAAGACUAAUCGAACUAUCUAGUAGCUGGUUCCUGCCGA
This 896-nucleotide small RNA is filed under the name Epicoccum sorghinum. Its description in RNAcentral is "eukaryotic LSU rRNA". It matches the Rfam family "Eukaryotic large subunit ribosomal RNA", at positions 50 to 964 of the family's 3401-position model. Lineage: Eukaryota; Fungi; Ascomycota; Dothideomycetes; Pleosporales; Didymellaceae. The record is from RNAcentral.